CAAGUCGAGCGGGAUUUCUUUUGGUAGCAAUACCGAGGGAAAUUCAGCGGCGAACGGGUGCGUAACACGUGGGCAAUCUGCCUUAAAGUGUGGGAUAGCUCGGCGAAAGCCGGAUUAAUACCGCAUGUGGCUACUGAAGACAUCUUCGGGACGCUAAAGGUGGCGCAAGCUACCGCUUUUUGAGGAGCCCGCGGCCUAUCAGCUUGUUGGUGAGGUAACGGCUCACCAAGGCGUUGACGGGUAGCUGGUCUGAGAGGACGACCAGCCACACUGGGACUGAGACACGGCCCAGACACCUACGGGUGGCAGCAGUCGAGAAUUUUUGACAAUGGGGGAAACCCUGAUCGAGCGACGCCGCGUGGAGGAUGAAGGUCUUCGGGUUGUAAACUCCUGUCAUUUGGGAACAAGGCGUACGUAUUAACUGUACGUGCGUUGAUAGUACCAGAAGAGGAAGAGACGGCUAACUCUGUGCCAGCAGCCGCGGUAAUACAGAGGUCUCAAGCGUUGUUCGGAUUCAUUGGGCGUAAAGGGUGUGUAGGUGGCGCGCUAAGUCGGGUGUGAAAUUUCGGAGCUUAACUCCGAAACUGCAUUCGAUACUGGCGUGCUUGAGGACUGGAGAGGAGACUGGAAUUUACGGUGUAGCAGUGAAAUGCGUAGAUAUCGUAAGGAAGACCAGUGGCGAAGGCGGGUCUCUGGACAGUUCCUGACACUGAGACACGAAGGCCAGGGGAGCAAACGGGAUUAGAUACCCCGGUAGUCCUGGCAGUAAACGGUGCACGUUUGGUGUGGGAGGAUUCGACCCCUUCUGCGCCGGAGCUAACGCGUUAAACGUGCCGCCUGGGGAGUACGGUCGCAAGAUUAAACUCAAA
RNAcentral lists this ribosomal RNA (869 nucleotides) under uncultured Verrucomicrobiota bacterium. Its description in RNAcentral is "bacterial SSU rRNA". It matches the Rfam family "Bacterial small subunit ribosomal RNA", at positions 58 to 905 of the family's 1533-position model. The record is from RNAcentral. Lineage: Bacteria; Pseudomonadati; Verrucomicrobiota.